This is a long non-coding RNA of Ziziphus jujuba (common jujube), 1664 nucleotides long. RefSeq lists it as uncharacterized. NCBI's taxonomy places the organism in Eukaryota, Viridiplantae, Streptophyta, Magnoliopsida, Rosales, Rhamnaceae. The record is from RefSeq and is a predicted model, not a curated record. The transcript has 2 exons.
UGAUAUAUAUGUAGAUAUAAGCAGGAAACUUUUUUGGGAAUUAGGUAAGGGUUUUUUAGAGUGGAGUAAAGGAAGAGAAAAUACUUGAAGCGGCAAAAAGUUUCACAGAAGAUGUGGAUACGAAACCAAAACUGAGGGGGGAAUAAUGAUGGCCCUUUCAAUCUGAUAUAGUUUUCAAUCUGAAUUUUGUGUCUGCAUUUUGCUGCUCGUAUUCUUCUUCUUCUUCUUCUGAGAUUUACUGUCUCAGCUCUGCUCCACUCUGCCCUUUGGACCUCGUGAUGAUGAUGCUCUGAAGGUUCAAUCCCUCUCAGUUUCUCUGUGCCUUUAGAUUCUUUGCUUUCCUAUAAGCUGUCCAUUUCUAGCAGCCAAUAUAAUAUUUUCUUUUAUAUAUAUAUAUAUAUAUAUAUAAAUAUUUCUUUAUUCCUAAUUUCCCUAGUUUUUACAUGGGUAAGAUCUACAUUGUGAAAUAACAAAAGGGUUUAGGAUUAAAACAAUGAGAUUAUGUUUUGAAAAUUGGGUUUUUGUUUUUUUGUUUUUUAGGGGUAAAUCAAAGGUGAGAUUGAAGUUGCAAUUUUCUCAGUCUGAUUAACUCUGCAUUAAAGAUAGUGAAUAAUGAUGGAAUGGAAUGGUUUUUAUCAGCUGUGAAUGCAGUGGAAUGGAUUUAUGAUAAUCAGAGUGAGAAAAAAUUGCAUCUUCAGUCUCAGCUUUCAAGAUAAAUGCAGUGGAAUGGGAUUUUACUGGAAUGAGUUCCCAGUUCUGUGUUUUCGGUUUUUGAAUGGAAAGCAUUGAUGGAAUAUGAUUGUUAGUUUUCAGCUUCCAUCAACCUUCAGUUGAACUGGGCGAACAUCUUGAUGAGACUAAACUAGGCUGAAAGAAAAUGUUAAAGAAACUUCCAUCUAGGCGAAAGCUGUUUUUUUUUUUUUUUCCCUUUCUGCGGAAGCCACUUAACAUCCAAUCAAAGAUGGCAAUAAUCCUAAUGCUGGGGCUCUUUCUAGCUUUUUAGAGAUGAUUGCAAUGAAAUUUAUUGAUUUCGUUUCUCAGGGUUUACUAAAUUAUAAUUUAAGAUAUAUAAUUUUAUGGAGUAGAAUGAAUACCAUAAGCUUGAAGAUUUAAUUUUGUAAUUCUAAGAAAUGGCUAAUGCAUAUUCGAGAAAUCCACAACAAUGUUGCACCUGGCUUUUCUUACUGGAAGAAACCCUAAUGCAUCGUUGCCUGCUUGAUGUUAGCCUGUCUCUCACUGCUUGCUGUGAGAGGCAAUAUGAUGGUUGAAGAACCGAAGUCUCUAUUUUAUGGGCUUCUAUCUGUGUAGGAAUUUAGAAGAUUGCAAAAAUGUUAAUAAUCUUCUACUGUUGCAGUAGCUUUUAUAUUCAAAGUGUGGCUUUCUGGAGGAGUUUCUGUCUCUCAAGAUGAAGAAUUUACUUGUUGUGUAACUUUCUGUACCUUAAAAACAUAGAAUUUAGACAGGCACUAGUCAAGUCUUUUAUGUGCUUUCUUGUUAGCAUUUGUUAAAUCUCUUUACCAUUUCCUUUUUCCAAGUCUCUUCUUAAUGUUUGGUAAGUGGGUUUUAUAUGGUAUUUAAUGUUUUGUAAUUCUCUAUACUUUGAUAUUUGUUUUUAAGAUGUCAGAUAGAUUUGAGCAGUUGGUAAAGCAAAUAAUCUUUCACAA